This 10087-nucleotide long non-coding RNA is filed under the name Ananas comosus (pineapple). RNAcentral's name for it is "long non-coding RNA (ACOM_LNC030620)". The record is from RNAcentral. Lineage: Eukaryota; Viridiplantae; Streptophyta; Magnoliopsida; Poales; Bromeliaceae.
GGAGGCGGCAAAAUCUGACGAUUGGUGUAAGGCCAUGGAUGAAGAAAUUGCGGCGCUAGAGAAAAAUAAUACCUGGGAGUGUUAAGGAUUUUAUAGGUUGGCGAAUUUCGUAAAGUUGUUUGGAGUCUUGAAGAGUUGAUCGCAGAAGUUUUUGAGAAGAGAUUCAAAUUGAAGGACGAAGACUCAUUCGGAAAUAUCGACACCUAAGGUAUGAAGAAAAGAUCAUUUGUGGUGAAGAUACAUAAUUAGAAUAAGUUCAGAAGGCUUAGAUUGUUUUUAAACAACUUUUCUGAACUUUCUUGUGUUCUGGGACCGGUCUCUGAGAUGGAGAGACCGGUUCCCCCAAGGUCCUCACUGAGUAAACCAUGAUGCAACCGGUCCCCUGUGAUGAGAGACCGGUUCCCGAACCUUGGUGAUUCUGUCGCGCAGCGAGGGACAGGUCUCAAGUUUGAGAGACCGGUUCCCGAACGUUGGGUUUUUGGUCACGCAGGGAGGGACCGGUUCCUCACUUGAGAGACCGGUCUCUCACAGACCGGUCUUCUCGAGAGGACCGGUCUCUGAGGACGACACAGGUUUUUGAAAACGACUUUUUGCAAUCCUAGUCUACUUCUAAGUCUUCUAAACAUAUAAAUAAGCUAUGUGGGUCAUCUAAAAUUAAGGCUUUGAAUAUUUUACCAAUUCUAAACCCUAGAAACUUGUUUCUCCCCGUUUCAAUGCUUAGAUUUACAUGAUGAGUUUCUAGUAAUCAACAUCGGCUUGAUUCUUCGUUUUUACUCGAUACUUCUUACGAGAAUCAAGUAGAUGAUUGAUUAAAGGUGAACCCUCAUAGCUUAUGGUUUUCAAAAGUUAAAUCACCACAAAUCUUCAAUUCUAAAAGCUCCGGAAGGAGGAGGAUUCGGUGGAUGCUUCGAGGAGUUGAGGCGUUGACGCUGCGAGGAGUUGCAGCAAGGUCGAUUGGUGGAUUCCUAUCGAUCGAGGACCGGCAAAGAUCACCGUCAACGAGAAAUCGGUAAAUUGAGUCGUGUGUUUUUGACGAAAUCACUUGUACUCAAGUUUUCUUAGUGGAUUUUCUUUGCGUGAUCGGUCCCGUGGGUUUUUCACUCCGAAUUGGAGUUUUCCCACGUUAAAUUCUCGGUGUGCUGUUUUAAUUUCCGCUAUUUUGUCUUAUUUGCAUCGAGAUUUUUUGAGUUUGCCGGAUUUACACCUAUUCACCCCCCUCUAGGUGUUACUUACCUUUAGAUCCUCGGGAUCCAUAUCUUACAAGUGGUAUCAGAGCGGGUAUAGGUUGUAACUCAUGGUUGAGGGCGGUAACAUCAAUCGACCCCCGCUCUUCGAUGGAACUAACUAUGCUUAUUGGACAGUCCGUAUGAGGGCGUUUCUUAUUGCUAUCGACGAGCGGGUUUGGCAAGCCAUUGAAUUCGGAUGGAAAAAUCCUACCGAAGUUGUCGAGAAUGUUACCGUGCCAAAACCUAGGAAUAAAUGGACGAAAGAGAAAAAUGAACUAUCUUCGUUCAACGGGAAAGGUAUCAAUGCUUUAUUCAAUGCUUUAAACCAAACUGAAUUUUCUCGCGUCUCGGCAUGCGAAACCGCCAAAGAGAUUUGGGACACUUUGCGAGUUACACAUGAGGGUACAAGUUUGGUUAAGAUUCAAAAAUUGCAAAUGCUUACUAGCAGAUUUGAUUCCAUUCGUAUGGAAGAACAUGAAUCUUUUACCGAGUACUAUACUCGUUUGCAAGACAUUGUAAACACGUGUACUAACUUGGGCGAGAAAAUUCCCGAUUCCAAAAUUGUUCGAAAAAUUUUGAGAACCCUUCCCGAACGAUUCCGUCCUAAGGUUGCGGCUAUUGAAACGGUCAAACAUCCUGAUGAACUCAAAGUAGAAGAAUUAAUAGGUGCUCUUCAAACUUAUGAAAUGACUUUUCCAUCUAAUUCAUCUUCUUCCAAGUCUUUCUCUAAAGCCUCAGGGAUGGCUCUAAAAUCAACAAAAGGAGAUGUUUCUUCAACCUCAUCAGAUUCAGAGUCGGAGCAAAGCUUGGAGGACUUUGAAAAACAACUUGCACUUUUAACAAAGAAGUUUCGUCGGAACUUUAGAAAGAAGUUUCCUCCCAAGUCUACUUCAUCAAAGUCAAACAGAUCUAAAGGGGGUCCGUCUUCUUCUUCCUCGUCAAAAUACAAAAAAUCGGAUAACUCUCAAAAGGACUCCACAAAAGAGAGGAAAAGCGGUGAAGGUCAAAUUCAAUGCUACAAGUGUAGGGGCUUUGGCCAUAUAGCAUCUGACUGUCCCAAUAAAAAGUCGUUGAAGAAUAAAGCUAUGCAAGCUAUGACUUGGGACGACUCCUCAUCUGACGAUUCUACUUCGAGUGAAGAGGAUGUGAAUGCCACAGCACUGUUUGCACAGUAUUCAACCUUCAUGUGUCUAGCAUCUGCUGACUCGAUUUCUACGAUAUCUAUACAAAAGAAGUCAUCUUCGGAGAACUCAUCGGAUGAAGAAUCGGACGAAGAUGACAUGGUCGCAGCAUAUCAACAAUUAGUUGUUGAAUCAAAGAAGAUGGCUAAACAUAACAAGAAACUGCGGCGUAGUCUACAUGAGUUGGAACAAGAAAAUUCAAAGUUGGCCUCUCUAACAAAGGAUUUAGAACAAGAGAGAGAUGGGUUGACCAAGGCUUACAAUUCUUUGCUUGAGAAGUGUUCGUUACUUGAAAAAGAAAAGGAGACACAGGCAGAGAACAUCAAUUAUCUUACCAAGCAAAACUCUGAAGCUAGAGAAGCAAAUAUGGAAUUCACCAAGACGAUCAUUCAACUGAAGUCGGAUUUGAACCAAUUUUCAUCUGGCUCGAGCAAACUAGAUAAGAUGCUUGGACUUGGUCAGACAAAUAAACUUGGACUUGGUUAUGAACGGACAUAUAUUGAUCAAGUUAUGAAGAAGGAUGAUGGAAACUCGUCAACUGCUGUACCUAAACUUUAUGGUAAGUUUGUCUCUCCUAAAAACAAUUUGGCUAACAAAACUUGUCAUAUUUGUGGUGUUUUAGGACACAUAAAGAAAUUCUGCUACCAAAAGGGAAAAAGCUCAGUAGCUCUCUUGAAGAGUGACCCUAAAACGACAAUGAAGUCAAUUGUGACUCCAAAGAAGAUAGAACAAAAGAAGAGCCAAAUUCGGACUCCAAAUACUCCGAAGCCAAAGGCAAAACAAGCAUGGAAACCAAAGAAGGAGGAUAUGAAGAGGAAGUCAAUUCAAAUCGUCAACAAGCCACGAUCAACAAAAGCAAGCGAACUGACACAACCCAAAACACGUAAGGUUUGGGUGCGCAAAGGUGAACUCUUCCCAUGUCUAGUCAUUCACACCUCACUUCAUGCUUACGAUAACUCAUCUUGGUAUCUGGAUAGUGGUUGUUCCCAUCACAUGACCGGAGAUAAAAAUUGGUUUACUUCUUUGACCAAAAUCUCCGGAGGACUUGUUGUUUUUGGGGACGGUCGAUCGUCAAAAAUUGUUGGAAAAGGAACAGUGACUAUCUCAGAUGGCCCUACAUUGAAUGAUGUUUUUUAUGUUGAAGGGCUUAAAUCUAAUCUCGUAAGCAUAAGCCAACUGUGUGAUGAUGGGUAUUCUGUGAACUUUUCUGAUAAAGAAUGCCAUGUGACUCGUGAUGACAAUCUAUUCUUAAAGGGCAUUAGAUCUCAGAAUAAUUGUUAUGUUGUUCCUAGUUCGGCCACUGAACAUUGUAACCUAGCAUCAUUAGAAACUGAAACCUUAUGGCAUGAACGACUAGGUCACAUCAAUUUUAAGGAGCUAUCUAAGAUAACCAAGAAGGAGGUAGUUAGAGGUGUACCUAAGAUUGACUAUAAAGAGAACACUGUGUGUGGGGGUUGCCAAUUAGGGAAACAAACUAGAUCCACACAUAAGAACUUGAACCACUUAGGGACAACUAAACCUCUAGAGUUACUUCACAUGGACUUGAUGGGACCAUCUAGGAUUCAAAGUUUGGGUGGAAAACGUUAUAUUUUGCUUAUUGUUGAUGAUUUUACUCGCUAUGUAUGGAGUGCUUUCUUACGAGAAAAAGCUGAUACUUUUAAUUCUUUUUCUGAAAUCUGUCUCCGUCUUAUGACUGAACGAAAUGAUAAAAUUGUACGCAUUCGAAGCGAUCAAGGGGGAGAAUUCAUAAAUUCUAAAUUUGUUGAUUUCUGUGUUUCAAACGGUAUAAAACAUGAAUUCUCGGCCCCCUAUACACCCCAACAAAACGGAGUGGUUGAACGUAAGAAUCGGGUUGUACAGGAGAUGGCUCGUGUUAUGCUUCAUAGUAAGAAAAUUGCUUUACAUUUUUGGGCCGAAGCAGUUAACACAGCUGUCUAUGUUAUCAAUCGGAUUUAUGUACGUCCGGGCACUUUGAAUACGCCUUAUGAACUUUGGCUUGGUAGAAAACCUAAUAUUAAAUACUUUCGUGUCUUCGGGAGUAAAUGUUUUAUCCUUCGGGAUCGUGAAAAUCUUGGAAAAUUUGACUCUCGCAGUGAUGAAGGCAUAUUUCUUGGUUAUUCUACUACAAGUCGUGCUUAUCAUGCGUACAAUUUACGAUCUAAGACGGUGAUAGAGUCUAUCAAUAUAAAAGUAGAUGAAGCUUCUUCUGUAAGUUCUUCUGUGAAUGGUUCUUCUAAUUCUUUGAUGAAUGACGAUGAUAAUGAUUCUCCGUUUGUAAUGCCUGUGAAUGAUGAUGUUUCUAUACCUGAUAAUUCCAUUGCAUCUUCUGAUAACAUUGCAUCAAAUGAUUCAUCUGAGCCACAAAAUACCACGCCUGAAAUCCCUAGCGGAUCUCCUGAAACUAUUCCCCUGACUGAGUCAAGAGAUCAUCCUUUGUCAAAUGUGAUUGGGGACCCUAAUGUUGGUGUGCGAACAAGGAGUCAAUUACAAUGUGAAUUUGCAUGUUAUGUUUCUUUGAUUGAGCCAAAGAAUGUUGAUGAAGCUCUUGUUGAUGAAUAUUGGAUAAAUGCCAUGCAAGAAGAACUUGGUCAAUUUGUUCGCAAUGAUGUAUGGGAAUUGGUGCCUCGUCCUGAGCAACAACACAUUAUUGGUACCAAAUGGAUCUUUAAGAAUAAGAAAAAUGAGGAUGGUACUAUCGUGCGGAACAAAGCCAGACUUGUAGCUCAGGGGUACUCUCAAAUUGAGGGAAUAGACUUUGAAGAAACCUUUGCUCCGGUUGCCCGUCUUGAAUCUAUUCGUAUCUUGUUCGCGAUUGCUUGUCAUUUUAAAAUCACGCUCUUUCAAAUGGAUGUCAAAAGUGCGUUUUUAAAUGGAUUUUUAAAAGAGGAAGUUUAUGUUGAACAACCGAAAGGUUUUAUAGACUCAAAAUUUCCAAAUCAUGUUUUUCGACUGAAAAAGGCACUUUAUGGACUAAAACAAGCUCCGCGAGCGUGGUACGAACGUUUAACAAAAUAUCUUUUGGAAAAGGGCUAUAACCGAGGGGGAGCAGAUAGAACUCUUUUUGUGAAGCAUCUGAAGAAUAAUUUCAUUGUAGCACAAAUAUAUGUGGAUGACAUAGUUUUUGGGGCUACUAAAGAUAAGGAUGCCGCUGAUUUUGCAAAAUUAAUGACUAGUGAGUUUGAGAUGUCAAUGAUGGGAGAACUUAAUUAUUUCCUCGGGCUUCAAGUCAAACAAUCAAAAGAUGGAAUUCAUUUGUCACAGACAAAGUAUGCAAAGGAACUAGUUAAGAAAUUCGGAUUAGAAAGUGCAAAGGAUUUUGACACUCCGAUGGGUACAAGCAACAAAGGAUUAGGAAUGAACUCAGAAGGUCAGAGUGUGGAUGAGAAACAAUACAGAAGCAUGAUUGGUAGCCUCUUGUAUCUAACUGCGAGCAGACCUGAUAUUGCGUUUAGUGUUGGAAUAUGUGCUCGUUAUCAGGCUAAUCCUAAGGAAAUACACUUGAAAGCAGUUAAAAGGAUUAUUCGAUAUGUUAAAGGAACAACCGAGUAUGGACUAUGGUAUCCUAAGGGAACGUCGCUUGACCUAAUCGGCUACUCAGAUGCUGACUGGGCAGGCUCCGCAGAUGAUCGGAAAAGUACUAGUGGGGCUUGUUUUUACAUCGGACAUUGUUUGGUUGCUUGGCACAGUAAGAAGCAAAAUUGCAUUGCUCUUUCCACUGCAGAAGCUGAAUACAUUGCAGCUGGAAGUUGCUCUACUCAAUUAAUUUGGAUGAAAAGCUUACUAAGCGACUAUCGGAUUCCUUCUACCACUCUGACUAUUCUGUGUGACAACACGAGUGCAAUUAAUAUUUCUAAAAACCCUGUUUUACAUUCUCGAACAAAACAUAUUGAACUAAGAUAUCAUUUUUUAAGAGAACUGGUAGAAUCAAACGUUUUACAACUUGAAUACAUUUCAACUGAAAAUCAACUUGCAGAUAUUUUAACCAAACCUUUGGAUCAAAAACGUUUUCUGCAUUUAAGAAAGGCAAUUGGUAUGAACCCAUCAAUCUAGAUAUAUUCUAUUGAGCCACAGAUCAUGUGCAUGUUGCAUAUUUUGUUUCUUUUCUUGCAUGCUUUUCGGUGUUUAAGGGUUGAUUGAUUUUCUUGCUUGAUGUUGCCGUUUUGGGAAAUGAGUUGAUCUGUGAAUUUAAGUAUUUCAUAUUUAAGUUUUGAUUGAUCAAUGUCAGGGUUAUUCUCUAUUGACAUAUUUUUGAACGAUCAAAUCAUUGAAAUUCUAUUUAACAUAUUGAAUCAAAUUCAGCACCUCAUGCUUCGAACUUUGAAUAUUGCAAUUGUUUGUUUGAUUAUUAGUUUUGAGAUGAAUAAAUCUUUCUCUAUUUUUGAAAUUGCGAUAAUAUUUUUGACUUGAGGGUUGCACUAAUUUAGGGGGAGUCUUGCCGAUUUUAGCUAUGAAAAUUUAUGAAAUUCAAGAUGUGGAAAGAGUUACAUCCCCGCUGGGAGUGUGAAAACUACCACCACAUGGAGGAAAGAGCUACCACCCCGGUCGUCCGGUCAGUGUGUGCAGCUACCACAUGAUGAUGAAUAUAUCUCUAUGAGCUAAAAGCCAAUAAAGAAUGAAUCAAUAUGAGAUGUUGUGGAGAUGGUAACAUUCUAUGUUUAAUACAUCUCCUAGGCGAUAUAAGGUGGUUUGUUAAAAGAUGCUCAAAGAGCCACUCUUAUCUCGAAUUAUGUGCAUAACUCAAGUUGAGAAUAUUCUUUUAAUUUCAUGAUUAUGAGAUUUAUUUAUUCAAUUUCUUAACAAAUAUGAUGAUAAAAUGAUACAAUUUAUCCCUAGAUCUUGCAUGAUGUGUGGAAUUUUAUUUGAUACUUAUCAAGAAUUUUAUUUGAUUUUCGGAUCAACAAUAUUUGCCAAAUUGAAUAUCUUUGAGAUUGUUUUUCAAAAUUUAUUUAUGAAAUUUUAUUGAAGUCUUUGGGGAUGGAUAUUGUGUAUUUUUGAUGUUGGAUAUGUUGAGGAUAUUAUAUAAAUUUUCUGAAAAUUCUAGAUAAAAUUUUGUGUUUUAGGUUUUGGCUCUGGGACCGGUCCCAGACUUGGAGAGACCGGUCCCUCCGCCCGAACCGAUAUAAGGGUUUUGCGGUCUGUUUCUUUUUACUUUACCAAUUUCAUUCAAACUUCUCCCCAGAGCUUCUAAUAUCCACAGGGUGAUUUUGCUUCCAUUCUUCAUCAAUUUCUACUUAUUUUUGGUAUGAUACUCGGAUUUUGUUUCAUUAUUGUUUUAUAAUCCGAAUUUGUGCUUUAUUCUCAGUUUUUGAGGAUUUGAUCUCAUAAUGUUGUUCAAUCUCUUCAUUUUUGUCCUGAUCUUACUUCUAGACAUGUUGAUCAACUUUUUCAUGCAUUGUUACAUACUUUGAUUUAAUUGAUUGGUUGUUUUUGCCAUAUUUUCUUCAUCAAAACCUACUUUUUCUCAUUUUUGCAAACUGUGGUUUUAUUUGUUUUUGAUGCUUGAUCUGUCCAUGUUUUUUCUUAGUUAUGUGGCUCUAGGUUAUCUAGGAUACAACAUAUCAAUUUGCUAAAGUGUUUGGAAUCACAAAAAUUUAGUGUUCUUAUGUUCAAUAUGUAUAUAUCAUUAUGUUCAACAGGAAAUUUUCGAAAAUGUACUCGUGGAUUCUCGUUCUAGUGGUUCUUAUGGCUGGAGGUGGUCGCGGUAGCAAGCGACAGCGCGCCUCAGCUAAGAGGCCGGUUGAGCAACAACCGGAAGAUGAAGGGAGUGAGUAUGCCCCGGGUGAUGAAUCUGAGGAGGACGAGCAGGAUUGGGAGACCUUUGUGCCUGAAGUGUUGGCUAAGGAAAAGGACGCUGGGAAAGGUAAGGGAAAAGGGAAAGCUGUGGAUAAAGGCAAAGGAAAAGACACUGAACGUCCCAGUCGUCGUAAGUCCGGGGGUGUUGAAAUUCGCGAACCGGGCUCUGAGCCACCACGUCGCAGUUUACAGGAUGUUCCAUCUAACCGACGGUCAAUGUAUUCGUCGAAACACUGCAUUGGUGAGUGCGAUGUUGGGGUGGCCAGUAUUAUUAGUUGUGUGCCUGGUUUUCAGGAUCUGUUUGAACAGGGGAAUCUUCAUCAGAUUUGUGAUUUUCCGGAGCAAACUGGUUAUUGUUUGGAGCUGAUCAGGGAAUUUUACAUGAGAGCAGGUCACCUCAGUGAUUCCGACGGGGGUCCGUACGUGUUCAAGACCUCUGUCCGUGGUGUUGAGUUAUCAAUCACUCCUGCGACUAUAGCUUCGGUGCUUGAGAUGGAAGCUAAGACUGAUGGAGUGGAGUAUUUGCAGGCUGGGUUCGACUCACUUCGUGAUUGGAACCGUGUCGUGAACACUAUCUGCAUGCCGGGUACUGAAUCAAACGGAAUUAUGGUUAUGUCCAAGGAUUUUAAAAUAGAGUACAGAUUUCUGAACUUUGUGGUUUGCUACAAUAUCAUGCCUCUUGCGAACACGAAAAUCUUGCGAUGGGAUCGGAUUCUGUACAUGUAUCUCUUGGGUAGGCCAGAUAUUGUAAGUGCUAAAAACAUUAACAUGAAUAUUCCGUUUCUUAUUUGGCGGCGGAUGGCGAAAGAUAUCAAAACCUCUGGGCAAAAUGAGAGGUUACCGUUUCCUAUGAUAAUUAUGCGGAUUUUGCGACUUCGUGAGGUUGAUGUUAGGUGUACAUCGUACGAGCACAGUUUGGGUCGGAUUAAUGAAAGGACGUUUGUGAAGUCCUCGGUGCAGCUUCGUACGCCGUCACAACGUGCUUCUUCCCCUCCUGCAGCUCCACCUCCUGCUACUGCUACUUCUUCCCGUCCUUCUAUGGAUAUUUCUGAGGAAGAUAUUUCCGUUUCUUCGGUUUAUCGCGAGCAGCAACGUCUAUCUGAGGAGCUUCAGAAGUUGUCUUCAGAACAAGCUGCGAUUCGUAAGGAUGUGAGCAAGAUGAAGCGCUUGUUGAAUAUGAUUUUUGACAAAUUGGGCUGUUGUCGGGCCGAUUUACCUCCAGGAGAUGAUUCUGACUAGAAUUUUCUGAGCUUCUCCUUUUGUCGUUUUGGCGCUUUCUGACAAAAAGGGGGAGAUGAUGGAAUGGAUGGAUGGUCUCUUAAUGAUGAUGAUGAUGCAUUUAGCUUAGGGCUUGGCUUUGCUUUGGCUUUGCUUAGUUAAGAUGAUGACUUUGUUUUAGGUGUUUGGUGUUUUCGUUUAGCUAAGCUAUGAACUAUGGAGUGUGAACUUUAGUUGAGUGUUUGAUCUUCUUGAUACUUGAUACUUCUUGAUACUUGAAUCUUGAUUAUGCCUUGAGAAUGUUUUUGCAGGAAUAAUUCAAGACUUCAAGACUCCAUGUCUAAGUCAUAGAGUUUGUAUUAAGGUCGUAAAAGUGUAAAUUUUGUUUAUUGGAUUGAUCAUGCAGGAGAUUAUCGUUUGGUGAUUGCGAUGAUCUUCUUUUUAUGACUUAUUGGUUGUAUACGAGCUUUGUAGUGUAUUUUGUCACGAAAUCGCCAAAGGGGGAGAUUGUUAAGGAUUUUAUAGGUUGGCGAAUUUCGUGAAGUUGUUUGGAGUCUUGAAGAGUUGAUCGCAGAAGUUUUUGAGAAAAGAUUCAAAUUGGAGGAUGAAGGCACAUUCGGAAAGAUCAACACUUAAGGUAUGAAGAAAAGAUUAUUUGUGGUGAAGAUA